Triticum aestivum (bread wheat) is the source of this 1453-nucleotide long non-coding RNA. RefSeq lists it as uncharacterized. The transcript has 3 exons. NCBI's taxonomy places the organism in Eukaryota, Viridiplantae, Streptophyta, Magnoliopsida, Poales, Poaceae. The record is from RefSeq and is a predicted model, not a curated record.
CCGAUUUUUCUCCAUGCAGUUACCACUUUCCAUACUACUCCUCUCCUAACGUAGAUUUCUUUCUUUCUGUUAGACUAUAAUCCCCACCUCGUUCCUCUGCACGCCUCCGCAGCCUCCCUCCCUCCCCCCACGUCCCACCUCGCCGGCGUACCUUGGACGGCGCGCUGGGGAUUGCCCCUGUUGCCCAGGGUCAAGUUUCCCCGGCAUCUGAGCCGCGCUUGGAUGGAGGAGUGAGGGACGCCGACCGCCGGUCAUCCUUCUCAAUUCCACCAUGGCGGAUCCGGUGGGAUUCCAAGUGACCUCUACGGCCGGCCUCUGUCGAGGUGUUGAGCGGCCAACUGGUGAUCCGAUCUGACUGACUGACGGGAGAUGAGGCAAACUGGUGAGUCGAUCUGACUGACUGACGGCAGGUCCGGUCCGUCGCCGCCCGGCGACGGUGACUGUUCACCGCAGAUUCCAGGCCGGCAAUAUAAUUCUUGCAGAUCUACCAGAGGAGCAUCCGCUAUUGCUUUGACCACGACGGAUCUGAAGGUACCGGUGGGUACUCAGAUCUGCAAGGAUAUACAGCCGCGCAGGUCUCCACUGCCAGAGUCAUGGCAAGUCGCAGAACCAUGCUUACCGGUGAUGGGAUUCAUCGCGGUAAUUUUGCGCUAACGCCGUGGAUGCGGUGGCACGGUGGGUCGAUAUAGUCCUCGGACCGAGAAGGUUGUAUCUAGCUUUCUCGUCUACUCAUCCCAGCAGAGCUCACUAGCCCGCGACACAGCUACUGUUUGAUCUCCCGUGGCAGAGGCCUAGAUCUGUUCGAUUUGCUGAGGUCUGCGGUGCACUUGGCUGAAGAUAAGUGAUGCAGCUUUGGAUAUUCAGCCAUGGCUGAUGACAAGUGAUGCAGCUCGGACACUCAGAUCAGAUGCGUGACACAGGAUGUCGACUCGGCUCGCAAGAUAUUGGUUUGGAGCAGGCCAGUUAGGUGCAACGGUUGCCCAGUCUUGGAGAUCAAUAUUUCACUUGAACGUUGGUAAAAUAGCACAAGUGAGAUAUGUGGUUUUGAGGAUUGUUUGACAAGAUGAUGGUUUAUUUUUAUUUUUGUUCCUCAGAUGCAGUAAGAUGAAUGGCAGAUGGCAAAAUGCAGAGUCAUAAUUUGUAGCAAUUAAAUACUGAAUGACAGAUGGCAGAAAUUAUGAAUUGGUUGCAGAGGCAGUAAGGUGAAUGGCAGAUGGCAGACAUUCAGGGGCAAUUCAACAGUGCACAGCAAGCCUAAUACAAUUUACUUCAGAGAGGAAAUAACUUCCAAGAUCUUACGGAUGAGGGCAACGGCUACAGCAUGUAAAGGGGUACAGACUGUUUUGAUAAAUAAAAUAUAUAUUACCACCUCCCAGAGGAAAUAUUGCUCUGCUGCAUGCUUGUAAAGUGUAAUUGGCAACUCGAGUUCUAUUCAAUGCAAGUUUUGUCUACA